This 486-nucleotide ribosomal RNA is filed under the name uncultured bacterium. Its description in RNAcentral is "partial 16S ribosomal RNA". It matches the Rfam family "Bacterial small subunit ribosomal RNA", at positions 30 to 507 of the family's 1533-position model. The record is from RNAcentral.
AUUGAACGCUGGCGGCAUGCCUUACACAUGCAAGUCGAACGGCAGCACGGGUGCUUGCACCUGGUGGCGAGUGGCGAACGGGUGAGUAAUACAUCGGAACAUGUCCUGUAGUGGGGGAUAGCCCGGCGAAAGCCGGAUUAAUACCGCAUACGAUCUACGGAUGAAAGCGGGGGACCUUCGGCCCUCGCGCUAUAGGGUUGGCCGAUGGCUGAUUAGCUAGUUGGUGGGGUAAAGGCCUACCAAGGCGACGAUCAGUAGCUGGUCUGAGAGGACGACCAGCCACACUGGGACUGAGACACGGCCCAGACUCCUACGGGAGGCAGCAGUGGGGAAUUUUGGACAAUGGGCGAAAGCCUGAUCCAGCAAUGCCGCGUGUGUGAAGAAGGCCUUCGGGUUGUAAAGCACUUUUGUCCGGAAAGAAAUCCUUGGCCCUAAUACGGUCGGGGGAUGACGGUACCGGAAGAAUAAGCACCGGCUAACUACGUG